RNAcentral lists this transfer RNA (90 nucleotides) under Ramlibacter sp. RNAcentral's name for it is "tRNA-Ser". It matches the Rfam family "tRNA". Rfam says of the family: Transfer RNA (tRNA) molecules are approximately 80 nucleotides in length. The record is from RNAcentral. Lineage: Bacteria; Pseudomonadati; Pseudomonadota; Betaproteobacteria; Burkholderiales; Comamonadaceae.
GGAGCGGUGGCAGAGUGGUCGAAUGCGCCGGACUCGAAAUCCGGUAUACGUGCAAACGUAUCGAGGGUUCGAAUCCCUCCUGCUCCGCCA